UACGUAGGGGACGAGCGUUGUCCGGAUUUAUUGGGCGUAAAGAGCUCGUAGGCGGCUUGGCAAGUCGGGUGUGAAACCUCCAGGCUCAACCUGGAGACGCCACUCGAUACUGCUAUGGCUAGAGUCCGGUAGGGGACCACGGAAUUCCUGGUGUAGCGGUGAAAUGCGCAGAUAUCAGGAGGAACACCGGUGGCGAAGGCGGUGGUCUGGGCCGGCACUGACGCUGGGGAGCGAAAGCGUGGGUAGCAAACAGG
RNAcentral lists this ribosomal RNA (254 nucleotides) under uncultured bacterium. RNAcentral describes it as "partial 16S ribosomal RNA". It matches the Rfam family "Bacterial small subunit ribosomal RNA", at positions 524 to 776 of the family's 1533-position model. The record is from RNAcentral.